AGUGGCGAACGGGUGAGUAAAGCAUCGGAACGUGCCCAGUAGUGGGGGAUAGCCCGGCGAAAGCCGGAUUAAUACCGCAUACGACCUAAGGGUGAAAGGGGGGGAUCGCAAGACCUCUCGCUAUUGGAGCGGCCGAUGUCAGAUUAGCUAGUUGGUGGGGUAAAGGCCUACCAAGGCGACGAUCUGUAGCUGGUCUGAGAGGACGACCAGCCACACUGGGACUGAGACACGGCCCAGACUCCUACGGGAGGCAGCAGUGGGGAAUUUUGGACAAUGGACGAAAGUCUGAUCCAGCCAUGCCGCGUGCGGGAAGAAGGCCUUCGGGUUGUAAACCGCUUUUGUCAGGGAAGAAAUCUUCUGGGUUAAUAACUCGGGAGGAUGACGGUACCUGAAGAAUAAGCACCGGCUAACUACGUGCCAGCAGCCGCGGUAAUACGUAGGGUGCAAGCGUUAAUCGGAAUUACUGGGCGUAAAGCGUGCGCAGGCGGUUAUGCAAGACAGAUGUGAAAUCCCCGGGCUCAACCUGGGAACUGCAUUUGUGACUGCAUAGCUGGAGUGCGGCAGAGGGGGAUGGAAUUCCGCGUGUAGCAGUGAAAUGCGUAGAUAUGCGGAGGAACACCGAUGGCGAAUGCAAUCCCCUGGGCCUGCACUGACGCUCAUGCACGAAAGCGUGGGGAGCAAACAGGAUUAGGUACCCUGGUAGUCCACGCCCUAAACGAUGUCAACUGGUUGUUGGGAAG
This 740-nucleotide ribosomal RNA is filed under the name uncultured marine bacterium. RNAcentral describes it as "bacterial SSU rRNA". It matches the Rfam family "Bacterial small subunit ribosomal RNA", at positions 94 to 830 of the family's 1533-position model. The record is from RNAcentral.